AUUGAACGCUGGCGGCAUGCUUUACACAUGCAAGUCGAACGGCAGCGCGGGGCCACCUGGCGGCGAGUGGCGAACGGGUGAGUAAUAUAUCGGAACGUACCCAGAAGUGGGGGAUAACGUAGCGAAAGUUACGCUAAUACCGCAUACGAUCUACGGAUGAAAGUAGGGGACCGCAAGGCCUUAUGCUUUUGGAGCGGCCGAUAUCUGAUUAGCUAGUUGGUGAGGUAAAGGCUCACCAAGGCGACGAUCAGUAGCUGGUCUGAGAGGACGACCAGCCACACUGGAACUGAGACACGGUCCAGACUCCUACGGGAGGCAGCAGUGGGGAAUUUUGGACAAUGGGCGCAAGCCUGAUCCAGCAAUGCCGCGUGAGUGAAGAAGGCCUUCGGGUUGUAAAGCUCUUUUGUCAGGGAAGAAACGGUAGAGGCUAAUAUCCUUUGCUAAUGACGGUACCUGAAGAAUAAGCACCGGCUAACUACGUG
This 482-nucleotide ribosomal RNA is filed under the name uncultured bacterium. Its description in RNAcentral is "partial 16S ribosomal RNA". It matches the Rfam family "Bacterial small subunit ribosomal RNA", at positions 30 to 507 of the family's 1533-position model. The record is from RNAcentral.